This is a non-coding RNA of Camelina sativa (false flax), 164 nucleotides long. Lineage: Eukaryota; Viridiplantae; Streptophyta; Magnoliopsida; Brassicales; Brassicaceae. The record is from RefSeq and is a predicted model, not a curated record.
CUCUUUUGUUCCUCUUUUCAUCAGGUAAAAAAUUCUGAAAAAUUUAAAAGAAUAAUGCAGACAAUUUUAUCUCUUGGGAACGCCCUAAACCAAGGAACGGCUAGGGGUGCUGCGGUUGGGUUUAAAUUGGACAGUCUGCCAAAACUCAGUGAAACAAGGGCACG